RNAcentral lists this ribosomal RNA (275 nucleotides) under uncultured bacterium. RNAcentral's name for it is "partial 16S ribosomal RNA". It matches the Rfam family "Archaeal small subunit ribosomal RNA", at positions 474 to 744 of the family's 1478-position model. The record is from RNAcentral.
UACCAGCACCCCGAGUGGUCGGGGACGUUUUAUUGGGCCUAAAGCAUCCGUAGCCGGUUCUACAAGUCUUCCGUUAAAUCCAGCUGCUUAACAGAUGGGCUGCGGAAGAUACUAUGGAGCUAGGAGGCGGGAGAGGCAAGCGGUACUCGAUGGGUAGGGGUAAAAUCCGUUGAUCCAUUGAAGACCACCAGUGGCGAAGGCGGCUUGCCAGAACGCGCUCGACGGUGAGGGAUGAAAGCUGGGGGGAGCAAACCGGAUUAGAAACCCCCGGGUAG